GUAGGUGGCAGCGUUGUCCGGAAUUAUUGGGCGUAAAGCGCGCGCAGGCGGUUCUUUAAGUCUGAUGUGAAAGCCCACGGCUCAACCGUGGAGGGUCAUUGGAAACUGGAGAACUUGAGUACAGAAGAGGAAAGCGGAAUUCCACGUGUAGCGGUGAAAUGCGUAGAGAUGUGGAGGAACACCGGUGGCGAAGGCGGCUUUCUGGUCUGUAACUGACGCUGAGGCGCGAAGGCGUGGGGAGCAAACAGGGAUUAGAUACCCUGGUAGUCCACGCCGUAAACGAUGAGUGCUAAGUGUUAGGGGGGUUUCCGCCCCCUUAGUGCUGCAGCUAACGCAUUAAGCGCUCCGCCUGGGGAUACGGCCGCAAGGCUG
This 372-nucleotide ribosomal RNA is filed under the name uncultured organism. RNAcentral's name for it is "partial 16S ribosomal RNA". It matches the Rfam family "Bacterial small subunit ribosomal RNA", at positions 527 to 896 of the family's 1533-position model. The record is from RNAcentral.